AAAUUGAAGAGUUUGAUCAUGGCUCAGAUUGAACGCUGGCGGCAGGCCUAACACAUGCAAGUCGAACGGUAACAGGAAGCAGCUUGCUGUUUCGCUGACGAGUGGCGGACGGGUGAGUAAUGUCUGGGAAACUGCCUGAUGGAGGGGGAUAACUACUGGAAACGGUAGCUAAUACCGCAUAACGUCGCAAGACCAAAGAGGGGGACCUUCGGGCCUCUUGCCAUCGGAUGUGCCCAGAUGGGAUUAGCUAGU
Molecule: ribosomal RNA, 252 nt
Filed under: Escherichia coli
Lineage: Bacteria; Pseudomonadati; Pseudomonadota; Gammaproteobacteria; Enterobacterales; Enterobacteriaceae
Also listed under: 1 other name
Description: partial 16S ribosomal RNA
Rfam family: Bacterial small subunit ribosomal RNA
Source: RNAcentral